Molecule: transfer RNA, 75 nt
Filed under: Winogradskya humida
Lineage: Bacteria; Bacillati; Actinomycetota; Actinomycetes; Micromonosporales; Micromonosporaceae
Description: Actinoplanes humidus tRNA-Met
Rfam family: tRNA
About the family: Transfer RNA (tRNA) molecules are approximately 80 nucleotides in length.
Source: RNAcentral
CGCGCCGUAGAGCAGCUCGGUAACUCGCCUGGCUCAUAACCAGGAGGCCGCGGAUUCAACUCCCGCCGGCGCCAC